RNAcentral lists this unclassified non-coding RNA (3373 nucleotides) under Hevea brasiliensis (rubber tree). Lineage: Eukaryota; Viridiplantae; Streptophyta; Magnoliopsida; Malpighiales; Euphorbiaceae. The record is from RNAcentral.
GCCAACCCAAACAGGCCCUAGGAAGCGGUGAAGUGAACUGUUUGAUGAUUUUGUCUCCAAAACCCAUGGCGGCUCCCUUUCUUCAAGCCUCAAAACCUCUUUUUUUUCUUUGUCAAUCGCUCUCUCUCUUUUCCUUGACCUUUCCCCGAAAAUCCCCAUCUCUUAAAUUCUCUCCCGGCUUUAAAUUCUACGAUUUCUCUUUCUUUCUCUAUCAAUCUCAUCAUCAUUAUCAGCAUGGCAGCUGUUGCUUCUCCUUCUGAUCGUAUCCUUACUAACUUCCCUCAUCUGGGUACUCUUAGCAUUUGCAAUUCCCACUUUUAUCAUCUUACACAUAUGUAUAUAUAAUAUAGUUCAUAGCCAUCCGCACGUGUAUAUUAAGGUUGUCGACAUUUUUGUGCUUAUUUGGUUUUUGGGUUGAUUGAGAUUUGUUUUUUGGAUUGGUUUUUCUGUUUCAUAUGGGUUGAGGAAGAUGGCUUUUGUUAGGGUUUAUGUUUAGAUUAGUAAAUUAAAUUUUUAUUCUUAAGUUUUGAUUAGUUCUUUUCAAUUUUAAUAUACCUGUGGAGGUUUUUGAUUAUCUUCAUGCCUUGUAGCGUGUUGGUUGAUCGAAAUAUUGUUCACUAGAUGGCUCUUGUAGGCUACGUGUUGACAGAUUUUGGUUUUGUUGAUCAUGCUGGGAUUGCUGUCAUUGGAUGAAAACUCAGCCUUUUGUGCCAUACUGCUAAUUGUGGACAACAUGAUGUCAUUAUAUAUGGAUUUGAAUAAUGAAACAAUUGUGAAUUGAAUUACUUGACUUGUGGUUUGUUGUGUCCUUUACUAUUACCGUUACAGAGGUUGCAGAUGUGUUGGAGAACUUGCCAUUAGAUUCUCAGACUAUGACUGCUGAAAUUCCUGAAGCUACAAAGAAGGUAACUAGGUUUCUUCAUGGUUAUUGAUCAGUUUCUCCCCCCUCAAUCAUUUUGUCUGAUCACAUGGUAAAUUGAUUGGUAUAGCUUUCUACUAGUCAAUAUGGAUCAGGUGACUUGGCUACUAAUACAGCCAAGCCAUUAAGUCGGUCUAUGAUCCCUCUUCACGUACACCAAAACGCGUACUAUUCUCCUAAUGGCUACCCAUCGCCUGCGUACUAUUAUGGAGGUAAGCUGUAUAUUUAGGUUUAAGGCUAUUGCCCUACAAUGUCUGUUCAAAAGGGGCAUAAACCUGAAAUUUUAAGUUCAUUAAACUGUUUAAUUGGGCAGUUUGCUUUUCUGGGUCAGUAACAUUCUGGUGCAAAAUGUUCAUCCUUCUUCAGGUUAUGAUGGGCAUGGUAAUGGGUGGAACGACUACUCUAGUUAUGUUAAUCUUGAUGCGGUUGAGAUGUCUCACGGCAUCUAUGGCAAUAAUGAAACUUUUAUGUACCAUCAAGGCUAUGGUUAUGCACCUUUCGGGGCAUAUCCUUCACCAAGUUCUACUGUGCCUACAAGGGGAAAUGAUGGCCAGCUGUAUGGUACAGAGCACUAUCUGUACCCUAGUCCUUUUUACCAGGCUUCGGCUUCAACUGGCACACUUUAUUCUCCUAACUCAGCCAGUGCUUCCCAAGCAGAGGUUCCAACUUCUGCUGCAGCUGAUAAGGCGGCUUCGUCUGUUGGGACUGCUGCAGGAAACACCAAUAAUACAGUGAACAUUGGAAACAGUGGAAGUGUAAAUAGAAGUAAUCGACCAAAACCUUUCAGACCUAGUAAUCGAAAUUCAUCUGCAAGUUUAAAUGUUCCCUAUAACGGGGGAAGUUUACCAACAGGAUUUCCUUCACACGGUUAUCAAGACCCAAGGUUUGGAUACGAUGGAUUUCAGUCACCGAUCCCAUGGUUAGAUGCCUCUAUGUUUCCUAAUGGGCCUCCUGGACAUGCAAUCAGCACUGCAUUCUCUUCACCAGUGGCUACAAGACCAAUGUCUGGUUUGGGCCAAGCUUCCGAAGGCAUGAACUUGAUGUACCCUAACAACAGAAUGUAUGGCCAAUAUGGAUACAGAGCUGGUUCAAGUUUUGGAUCCUUUGGUGGUAAUUCAUGGACAAAUGGACAUGGGUGGGUGGUUGUUGAUAAUAAGUGCAAACCUAAGGGCCGUGGCUAUGGCAAUGAGAAUAUAGAUGGCUUAAGUGAGUUGAAUAGAGGACCUAGGUCCAAGGGUUUUAAGAACCAAACAGAGUUUGGGCCUGUUCCUCAGGCAGUCCCGGGGCAGAACAUGCCAUUGACCGAGAAUAACAAGGGGGAUAACGUGCCUCACAUGCCAGACAAGGAACGGUACAACAGGGAGGAUUUUCCCGAGAAUUACCCAAAUGCAAAAUUUUUUGUUAUUAAGUCAUACAGUGAGGAUGAUGUUCAUAAAAGCAUCAAGUAUGGUGUGUGGGCAAGCACACCUAAUGGAAAUAAGAAGCUAGAUGCAGCUUACCAUGAGGCCAAGGAAAUUCCUGGUGGCUGCCCUGUAUUUCUACUAUUUUCUGUCAACACCAGUGGGCAAUUUGUUGGUUUGGCUGAGAUGGUGGGGGCUGUUGAUUUUAACAAAACAAUGGAGUAUUGGCAACAGGAGAAGUGGAUUGGUUGCUUCCCUGUCAAGUGGCAUAUUGUUAAGGAUGUAGCAAAUAGUUCCUUGAGGCAUAUAACACUUGAGAACAAUGAGAACAAGCCUGUCACUAAUAGUAGGGAUACACAAGAGGUUAUCUUGGAGAAAGGUAUUCAGAUACUUAAAAUUUUUAAGGGUCAUAGAAGCAAGACUUCCAUACUGGAUGAUUUUGGGUUUUAUGCGGCUCGCGAAAGGAUUAUGCUGGAGAAAAGGGCUAAGCAAAAAAUUCAAAAACAGGUUUUUGACAGGAAGCCUGGCAAUGAUUUGGCUACUAAUUUAGAGAAACUUGAAAUGGUGGGGAAAGAGAGUUCAGAAAAAUCCAUCAACAGUGUAUUGAAGGAACCAGUUGGUGCAGUAGCAGUUGAACUGGGGAAGAUGAAUGGGGAGGUAAAGCUGCUAGAAGAGAAUGGAUCAGAUGCAGCAGUUGAAAACUCCCCUAACAAUAACAAGUCCGUUGGGGCAUCUGAAAACAAAGUUGAUCCUAAUGUGGUUGCAAGUGCCUGCUAAUUUUUAGGCGUUUACCACUUCAUUUUGGGAUAGGAUGUUAGGGCAGAGUUGAGGUGAUGGGUUUCAUGACACUGUUAGUGAAUUUGCUAAUUACUAUCAGUACUCACAUAGGUUAGCUUUACCUUUUUUAGAUGGACUCAUGCUUUGUGGAUCAGAAAGACCUGUGUUCUUUUAUAGCUUGGUGAGACAGACUGGCUUCUCAGGACCUUUAAAGAUAAUGUUUUUCUCUCCUUUUGGUGGGAAAUUUUGAGUAAUUCUCUCAUAAUUGUUACUUUAU